CAACACACUGACCAUAUUCUACUCAACCGAAGGACAAGGAGAAGCAGACAGAAGGCAGGUGUUUCAAGAUUAUAAACCACUGAGUGCUGCUUCCACCGUCGUGAAGUUGAGAGAGUGACUCCAGCUCCCAUUCGUUCUCUGCUUGCUUGUUGCCUCGGUUUAAUUGUCUGAAGACCAGAAUCAAUGAAAAUUUGGAAACUUGUCUUAACUGCCUCCUUGGAUGCUGUUUGAGAAAUCACAGGAGGACAUGGCAAAGCAUUUAUAGUCACAAUGAUAAUAUCAUCAGUUAUGAGAAAAUUGGCAUGCAGGAUGAGAAAGUCAACACCACGACGCUUCAUCUGACUCCUACAAAACAUAUUAUGGAUGUCUGUGGAUAUUUUUACUCUUAAUUUUCUGGACGGUGAGUCUUAACAUGAGGCAAACAGUGGACAGCUGAAAAGCACAGCAGCCUCAGAAAGGCCGUUGUAAAUUUACUCUGAAAUACAGUCACACUGUUUAAAUACAGUAGUGUAUGAGUACAAUACUAUACUAAUCUGUCCAAUAAAUUUAACAUUGUGCUCAUUGA
Peromyscus eremicus (cactus mouse) is the source of this 565-nucleotide long non-coding RNA. RefSeq lists it as uncharacterized. The record is from RefSeq and is a predicted model, not a curated record. The transcript has 4 exons. Lineage: Eukaryota; Metazoa; Chordata; Mammalia; Rodentia; Cricetidae.